RNAcentral lists this ribosomal RNA (253 nucleotides) under uncultured bacterium. Its description in RNAcentral is "partial 16S ribosomal RNA". It matches the Rfam family "Bacterial small subunit ribosomal RNA", at positions 524 to 776 of the family's 1533-position model. The record is from RNAcentral.
UACGUAGGGGGCAAGCGUUGUCCGGAUUUAUUGGGCGUAAAGAGCGUGUAGGCGGCCAGGUAGGUCUGGUGUGAAAACUCGAGGCUUAACCUCGAGAUGUCAUCGGAAACCAUCUGGCUAGAGUCCGGAAGAGGAGAGUGGAAUUCCUGGUGUAGCGGUGAAAUGCGCAGAUAUCAGGAAGAACACCAAUGGCGAAAGCAGCUCUCUGGGACGGUACUGACGCUGAGACGCGAAAGCGUGGGGAGCGAACAGG